This 66-nucleotide transfer RNA is filed under the name Phryganogryllacris superangulata. RNAcentral describes it as "tRNA-Leu". It matches the Rfam family "tRNA". Rfam says of the family: Transfer RNA (tRNA) molecules are approximately 80 nucleotides in length. The record is from RNAcentral. Lineage: Eukaryota; Metazoa; Arthropoda; Insecta; Orthoptera; Gryllacrididae.
ACUAUUUUGGCAGAGAAGUGCAAUGAAUUUAGAAUUCAUGAAUGUAAGAUUGAUUUACAAUUAGUA